Molecule: ribosomal RNA, 497 nt
Filed under: uncultured bacterium
Lineage: Bacteria
Description: partial 16S ribosomal RNA
Rfam family: Bacterial small subunit ribosomal RNA
Source: RNAcentral
GAUGAACGCUGGCGGCGUGCCUAAUACAUGCAAGUCGAGCGAACGGACGAGAAGCUUGCUUCUCUGAUGUUAGCGGCGGACGGGUGAGUAACACGUGGAUAACCUACCUAUAAGACUGGGAUAACUUCGGGAAACCGGAGCUAAUACCGGAUAAUAUUUUGAACCGCAUGGUUCAAAAGUAAAAGACGGUCUUGCUGUCACUUAUAGAUGGAUCCGCGCUGCAUUAGCUAGUUGGUAAGGUAACGGCUUACCAAGGCAACGAUGCAUAGCCGACCUGAGAGGCUGAUCGGCCACACUGGAACUGAGACACGGUCCAGACUCCUACGGGAGGCAGCAGUAGGGAAUCUUCCGCAAUGGGCGAAAGCCUGACGGAGCAACGCCGCGUGAGUGAUGAAGGUCUUCGGAUCGUAAAACUCUGUUAUUAGGGAAGAACAUAUGUGUAAGUAACUGUGCACAUCUUGACGGUACCUAAUCAGAAAGCCACGGCUAACUACGUG